CUGAAAAAAUCAGAUAUUUAAUGUUCUCUGUGAGUAAAGCAUAAGGGAGAUGGAGAGAAUACAGCUGUGGCUCCUAAGAUGUGUGUCUUUUAGUUGGGAAAUUAACACAUAUAAAAAUUUAUAACAAUACCAAGGACUCUGACAUGUUCAGAAUGGUUGUGUAAGUCCUCUAAGAUCAUGAGCAGUGAGCAAAAUGCAUGAGAGUAGUAGUCACAGACAGUGCUCAGAUAGCCUUUGGCCUACGCCAUUUUAAAUAAUGUUUCAUUCAAUGGCAGUGAAAAAAAGUACUCCAGGCAUGGAGCUUACAUUUGGAGGGAGCAAACAAAUGAUGAAACACGUGCAUUUAUACACAGCUACCGAAUACAGUGAGAGAUUGAUGAAUGAUGAAGAAGAAGGCCAACAGGAAUGCGGUUACUUUAGGUAAGUAUGGUCUGCCAAGGAAGGCUUUUAAAGGUGAGUGGGAGCAGGCUGUGGAAAUUCUACAGGCAUAUAGUUAACCUUGAUUGCCAACAUCUGAACACCAGGAGAUUCUAAUGCAAAUCAACCACUGGGUUUUCUAGGAAGAUGGGAAGAACUGGCUUAUGUUAGAUCCAAAUUUCCAUGUCCAAUUGGAGCAGAGUCAUUACUGUGUCAGAGAGUCCCUGGCCCUCUCUAGCUCACCACCGUCUCCACCUCUGCUUUGCCUAACAUCCAUCUUACUCCUAAUUUGCCACUACAUUCCAUGUUUCUGUAGGUCUUUGGGCUGUGACCUCUGCUUUGGAAGAAAAUACAUUAAACUUUCCUCCAACAGCUAUCAGGCCAAUCUCCUAUGUAAACUUAGAUAUAUACUUCUAAUCUACUUUAAAAAAAUAAUCAUAGAGACUCAACAUAGUAGGUUAGUCAUAUGUGUUGGUCUCUUUUUCUCAAAGCCACACCAAAAUAAGAGUAAAAGGAAUAAAAUGUAAACCCACAGGGUCAGCCCACAAGAGAAGGUAGAGGAGGCAUCAGUGGAUGAAAAGGUACAAUAAUCUGAAAGGUGGAAACUGGUUGGAAUGUUGAUAGCCAAAAUCAGUGCAAAGAAAAUACAGCCAAAAUUCAUCCUGUAGAACAACUUCAAAGACUUAAGGCUUGCAGACAGCAGGUAGGGAGGAAGUGAGGUACAAGACAGGAUUGAAAGUGAGGAAUUGGUUAGAAGUUGGAGCCUCAGGAAACUUCCCCACCCUGAGCAGUCAGAUGCCAACCCCUAGUCAAGGCAGGAGAAUGGAAAUUUUCCAUUAUUCUCUGGAAAAAUGGAACCAUGGAAAUUAAGGCCAUGGAAACAGUGGGCAUGGUGGUGGGCCAGGGUGAGAUGCAGGGCUGGAAAUUGAUUAGGUACAAAUUGCUUAUUCUGCCAUGGUCUUCUGCUCCCCUUUCCCUUAGAACACCAGGACCAGAGCGGGUGGGAAGGGAGUGGAAAGUUUAUCUGGUAUGUUUGGCCAUUUGGAAAAGAAUAUUGAUGGGUAUCUGACAGGUCCGAGAAUGUGUUAAAAAAAAAAAAAGAUACUUAGAAAAUUAAGCAAAUAGAAAAACAAGGCAGUUGUUAAUUCUAGGAAAGACAAAACAAGAAAGCAAAUGUAAUUCUAAUUCACUAGCUGGCUCUGCAGUUAACAAUGUACAGUUCUAUUAAAAAUAUUGAUUAUUGAGUUAACCUAAAAUCAUAAUAGAACUUUUGGGAUGAUGGAGACAGAUACGUAUAUGUGGUAAGGAAAGGGCAGAGAGAUGAAAGAGCUACACUUCAUUUCAUCCAAAGUGGGAAUAAAUAUAUAAAGCAUCAAGAAGAAGCCACCAAAGUAAAGGCGUGACAGAAAAACAUCCACAUGCCGAAGUAUUUGAAGACAAAUUUUCUUAGGAAAAAAGAGGAGGACUGAGUAUGUGAUUGAAUAGAGGUGGAAGUGUUAAAAACAUGGACUAGGCGAUAUUUAAAGGGAAUGGAGGAUGUGGAGAUGCAGCAGGCACACAGGCUGCAUAUGGGGUUUUGGAAGUGGAAGAAGGUUAAGUGUAUUUGCUGUGAGGGAUGGCAGGACUGCACUUAUUCUGAAUGAAUUCAGGAACGGGCAGUAAGCAGAAAGGACCUAAAUGUAUUGUCAUGAAGCCUGCUAUCCAGAGGAGCAUUUCCCCUGCCCCUUUACCCAGUCACUUUUGGGUAUACAUACAGCACCAACUUUCCCACUGCAGCAAAUUCACAACAGCAGUUGAGAUUUUAUAAAAUUAGAAAUGAUGGUAGUGGCCACAAGCAAAUGGACUAGCAGCUACAAGAAAUGUCAGCUGAUGUCAGUUCUGACAAGAAGAACCCCCGCCAAACCAUAAAGUAGACAUCGGAA
Molecule: long non-coding RNA, 2339 nt
Filed under: Homo sapiens (human)
Lineage: Eukaryota; Metazoa; Chordata; Mammalia; Primates; Hominidae
Description: HSALNT0250889
Source: RNAcentral